Molecule: long non-coding RNA, 1228 nt
Organism: Ornithorhynchus anatinus (platypus)
Lineage: Eukaryota; Metazoa; Chordata; Mammalia; Monotremata; Ornithorhynchidae
Exons: 3
Source: RefSeq, a predicted model, not a curated record
AUUUUGCAAGUCGGAAAAAUUAACGAAUCGGAAGAUGGGUUUGGGAAGAGCCAUCCCAAGGCAAGGCAUUCGGGCCACGGAGAGAGUCGGCCUUCUCCUGGUUUUGGUUUGAGCUGGUCUUCCUAUUCGUUGCAGCGUGCAGUGCUUCGCUAAUUAGCCGCUAUUAAGCCUCGACGCGGACCACCGAGUCGGCGGGACGCUGAACCCCGAAGCCCCGGAAGCGAGACGUAGCCAGAGCUUCUAAGGAGCGGAGGCCUCCGACAAUAGACAGACGUCAAAGGAUGAAGCGACGAAGCGACGAAGCGAACUCCGGCCCUCAGAUACAAGACUGCCAUGUCACCUCUAAAACCACCAGCAGACAUAGAGGUAUCCGGUAUCGGAGUUGUACCAGGCGGAGGACGGAUCAGCGAACCAGCGGACCGGAUGAUAGAAAAACGGACAGCCGGCCACUCCAAUCGAGGCCGUCAUGUGAGACUGGCUGAGUGCACCACGGCGCAGACGAAACCCAGAACUAAUCCCGCUGAUGAGCCUUUGGAGAUGGAACCACACAGGAUAGGCCCCUGCUAUCUAAAUCCUGCAGGUGUUAGCUCACCCAGACCCAAUCGCUUCGAACCAUCCCGAAAAUGCCAACUUAAAGAGCCUCCGAAAAGGGUUAAGCAAUAGAUCGGUUUCCUAGGCGCCGCAUAUUCUCGAAUCCUGCAUCAUUUUUGUCAUUAAUAUUUUCAAACAGCUCAUUUGACAUUUUUCCAUUUAAUGAGCUCGCAGACGGAGGAGAACUGCCUUUUCGGAGGACUGUGACAUUCAGAGUAAUUUCGGUUUUUUCCAUAUCUGGCAAGGGUUUUAUUCCCACUUCUCUUUGGCACCCUUGAUUUUCCGGACAUCUUAUUAGGGCAAAGGAUGGAGGAGAUUUACCCAACACAAAUGAUACUGGGAAACUGGCAUCUGGGCCCUUCUGCCGCUCUUAAACACAAGCCCAGCCUCCUCCACGCCUGGUUUUUAAAAAGUAUUUCCAACGGAACAGACCAACGUCACAGGAUAAUGCUUUCCUGUUGCCUCGCCGACAUCGAGGCAAAAUUCAAAACAUCGAUCAAAGUAUAAGUGUUCCCAGAAAGAUGGAAUGGGAUAUUAAGAGGAGAAGACAAUAGCUGUGCGACAAUUUUCUUUUCCAAAUGACAAAUAAUUACUGCUCUAUCAUCAGAUGAUUAAGAAAUAAAGGAAAAUAGACAAA